AUGGAAACCAAGGACGGAUCGAUCCUCUCGGUGUUGUCCAAGCGUCUCCACGCACUGCGGAAGCAGCAAAAUCGCAUCGCGCAGAUGGAAGAGUCUGUUGCCGCCGGCAAGACGCUUAGCCAAGAGCAGCAAAAGGAGGCGAUGCGCUCCAAGCCUGUCCUCGCCGCAGUCAUCGACGAGCUCGAGCGCCUCCGUGCGCCGCUCGCUGCCGCCCUAGCCGAGGAACUCUCCACCAUCUCCGCCCCUGCUGCCGUUCUUGUUGCGAUGGAGUUUUGUGUUGUGAAAGAUCGGGCCAUCAACGGAUCGACCCUCGCCUCGAGGUUCGUUCCACAUCAACUCUCCAGUGCCGUGUUAAUGCAUUUGCUUGUUUGA
RNAcentral lists this ribosomal RNA (372 nucleotides) under Triticum aestivum (bread wheat). RNAcentral describes it as "partial small subunit ribosomal RNA". Lineage: Eukaryota; Viridiplantae; Streptophyta; Magnoliopsida; Poales; Poaceae. The record is from RNAcentral.